Molecule: ribosomal RNA, 2605 nt
Filed under: Trachelomonas intermedia var. spinalosa
Lineage: Eukaryota; Euglenozoa; Euglenophyceae; Euglenales; Euglenaceae
Description: partial large subunit ribosomal RNA
Rfam family: Bacterial large subunit ribosomal RNA (bases 1-966)
Source: RNAcentral
CAGUGCCGGAAGGUUAAAAAAACUUGUUAGUGUAUGCAAAGCUUGUAAUUGAAGCCCCGGUGAACAGCGGCCGUAACUAUAACGGUCCUAAGGUAGCGAAAUUCCUUGUCAGGUAAGUUCUGACCCGCACGAAAGGCGUAACGAUCUAGAUACUGUCUCAGAAAGAGGCUCGGUGAAAUAGAAUUGACUGUGAAGAUGCGGUCUACUUACACUUGGACAGAAAGACCCUAUGAAGCUUUACUGUAGGUUGAUAUUGUUUUUGGUUUUUCUUUGCGCAGUAAUAGGUGGGAGGCAUUGAACUUAUUUUUCGGAAUUUAGUGAGCCAUAAUUUGAGAUACCACUCUUAGAAAAUUUGAAAUCUAAAGGCGUAAAUAAACGCUUGAAAGUGUCAGUUGGGCAGUUUUACUGGGGCGGUAGCCUCCUAAAGAGUAACGGAGGCGUACAAAGGUUUUUUCAAUUUAGAUGGAAAUUAUAUGUAGAGUGUAAAGAUAUAAAAAAGCUUGAUUGUGAGACUUAUAAGUCGAGCAAGGACGAAAGUCGGUCUUAGUGAUCCAACAAUGCUGAGUGGAAAGGUUGUUGCACGCAGAUAAAAGUUACUCUAGGGAUAACAGGCUGAUCUCCCCCGAGAGUUCACAUCGACGGGGAGGUUUGGCACCUCGAUGUCGGCUCAUCGCAACCUGGGGCAGUAGUAUGUCCCAAGGGUUGGGCUGUUCGCCCAUUAAAGCGGUACGUGAGUUGGGUUCAGAACGUCGAGAGACAGUUCGGUCCAUAUCCGGUGUAAGCGUUAGAGUAUUGAAACGAUAAGCUUCAUUGUCGAGAGGACCGGGAAGGAUGCACCUCUAGUGUGCCAGUUUUUGUACCAACAGAAAAUGCUGGGUAGCUACGUGUGGAGUGGAUAACUGCUGAAAGCAUAACGCAACCCUUUAAAAAGUGCGUAAUAGCUUACUGGUCAAGUGAUUUUGCGCCGAAAAUGAAUGGGACUAAGUAAAUUGCCGAAGCUAUAGAAUAUUUAUUAUUGGUAGAAGAGCGUUUUGUAUUAGGUAGAAGUAAGAACGUAAGUUUUUAUGGACUAACCAAAAGUGAGAAUGUCGGCUUAAGUAACGAAAAUAUUGGUGGAAAUCCAAUACCCCGAAAACCUAAGGUUUCCUUUGCAAGGUUCGUCCACAAAGGGUUAGUCAGAUCCUAAGAUAAUAUUGAGCAAUGUAGUUGAUGGGAAACAGGUUAAUAUUCCUGUACUUUUAUUUGUUUAAUUAAGAAUGACGGAGAAGGUUAUGUUAUCCAAAUUUUGGUUUUUUGGUCUAAUUGUUUGAGGUUUUGAGAAAUGUUAAAAAAAAUGUUUUGAGCUGAAAAUAAAAGUGCGAUGCAGAUUACGAUCUGUUAAGUAAUUUAUACCAUGCUUCCAAGAAAAGUUCUUGUAAUGUGUAACAAAAAAAUCUGUACCGUAAACUGACACAGGUGGGUUAGUUGAGAAUACUAAGGGGAUCGAGAUAACUCUUUCUAAGGAACUCGGCAAAAUGGCUCUGUAACUUCGGAAUAAAGAGUGCCCCUAAUUAAAGGGUCGCAGUGAUUAGAUCUAGACGACUGUUUACCAAAGUACGACCUGCUAAGGGUCAAGUUAUAUUAAAUCAAACGGCUAUUCUGAAAGCCAAAACCACAUAAGAGACUGUCCAUGCUCUGAAUAAGUUGCAGAAGGGUCCCUGGUUAUAUAGGGAUGGUAACCUUAUAUGGCAAGUCAGGAUGAAACGAGCAGCAAACCUUACUUCUAAAGGUCCAGAGCAGGAGGUAAAAUUAAUUCGCAAUAAACUUAAAAUACUAGUUAUAUUUUAAGAUCAGAAGGUUAGAACCAACGAAUCCAUUAAUUGAUAGUUAAAGUCUCGUUAGACAGUAGUCGCGUGGUAAUUAGAAGAGAACACACCGCGGCAUCACAAAAUAUAGGAUAAAAUGCAAAUAUAAAAAAGCAUGAAUGUGUUACCAAAAUCCUGUAGAUUGACUGCAGGUUCAGAAAGGGCAAAACACACGGGAAAUAAUGGAGACCAUACGAAUUACAGAUAACUUGAUCAACAGGGCAACCUCAUGAGCCGCGAAAGCUACGCGAGCCAGCUACAUGCUCAUGGGAGAGAGGAUGGGGGAAAAAGCAACAACCCAAAUCUGAAUUAACAGAUAUUGACUAAAAAGGUAAUAGGAAUAACAUCCUGGGGACGCAGACUUCACCCGCUGGCAAAAUACCGAUAUGCAAAUCAAAUCCUUUUCUAUAAGGCGAUUAUCAUUCCCAAGGACAAGGGAAGUAAAUAUAAUAGCCAUCGCCAGUGGAUUAUCACUUGGGCACUCAUAUAGAAUGGGUGUAGUUAAUUUAAGAAAUUUUAUGAUAAAAUUACCCAAGUUACAAAUAACUAACUUUAAUGAAUUAGUUGAGAUAAGACUCAACUUUUCACAUGAAGAUCCUACCUUCCCAAUAUGAAAGUCCACCAAAUCCCUGAAUAGAUGAUUUGGAGACUUUAUAUCCACCUUUGAAAAAGGAAUGAUGAUUUAAUCUAUUCAUCUUCCUGAAGUAAAAUUUUAACAAGGUUCCCAAAUAAAAGUCCCAAAAACAACAAUGGGGCCUUUU